UAAUGCUUAUGUUGGAAAGUUAAGGUAAGACGUACAUAUUGAAUCAGGUUAACUUGGGACUUCUGGAAAAUGCUACUCUGAUUUGUGGACUUAUUUCAGAUAAUAAGAAUCUAGAUUAGCUUCUUAUUCUUCUUCUUCCCUUUUCUUUUUUUGGGAAACUUUGGAUUUUAUGAUUCUUUAUUACAUCCCUACAUAUCAUCAAUCAAACUUACAAUGUUUAUAUUUAAUUGGUAAUUUUUGCUGUGCCUUGUGUGACAUCAACUCUGUUGUGGAUUGUUUCAAAUAUGGUGAUUGCUGAUAUGCAAUUUGCAUGGUAUGAUGACAGCUCUCCGUAUUCUGUACUGGACUUGCUGAUGGCAUGUUGGGUCAUUAUAUUUUCUAUAAUAUCACUAUGAGGCAAAUACAACUCAACUCAACUAAACCUUAAUCUCUAACUGGUUGGAGUUGGCUAUAUGGAUUUGUUUCUAUUCAGUUUAGUAUGGGGACAAUAAUGGAAGUAAAUUGGCUUUAGGAUGUAGGGUUAAAAUUUGUCAUCAUUAACUGGAAGAUGAUGGCAAAUUUGUUAGUUUUAUAUGCCAAUUACCAUGAUACUGUGUCUAUCUCAGGAAACUAAAAUUGGCCCUCUUGAGAAGAUUUUUUUGUAUGGACUUAGUUCACCAUGGACUAUAGUUAUGAACAUAGUUGCCUAAUUCGCUCAUCCCCCCACGAAUCACGAUCUGGAUCGCGUGGAACGCAAUUUUUGGCGUUCUAAAUCACUGUGGAAUGCGAUCUGGAUCGCUAAAAUUAGCAUUCCAGUUCUUGCUUUCCAUUUGAUUUUGCUUAGAAGAGGAAGAAGCAACGAUGUCCAAAACCAGAAAAGAAUCCCAAA
This 868-nucleotide unclassified non-coding RNA is filed under the name Hevea brasiliensis (rubber tree). Lineage: Eukaryota; Viridiplantae; Streptophyta; Magnoliopsida; Malpighiales; Euphorbiaceae. The record is from RNAcentral.